Molecule: long non-coding RNA, 571 nt
Organism: Oreochromis aureus
Lineage: Eukaryota; Metazoa; Chordata; Actinopteri; Cichliformes; Cichlidae
Exons: 4
Source: RefSeq, a predicted model, not a curated record
GGUGACUAAAUUUUGUAAGUUACAAAUAUAGUUCGCCAAGACAGCAUAACGGUUUCUAAACAACUGCGCAUUAAUACCACAAUGUUGUAUUUUCAUGUGUCAAGUUCGCAACGCGCAUUAAUCCCAAAGGCUGAAAAGCCAGCAGCGAUGAGUGCUCCGCCUCCGCGCUGACUAGCGUUGACACAGAAAAUGACUCUCAGGGGGUUAUUGAUGGAGGAGCUCCUUAAAAAGUUGAUGGAAGAAGGCAUUGAUGUGUCAGACGACGAGGCGCAAAGGUUUAGAGAUAACGAUGUACAACAUUGAAGGUACAGUUGAAGGUCCAGUGUCCCAAGCAAACCAGAGUUCUAUACCUUCUUGCCUGCAGUUAUUUCCAUUCCAAAAUUCCCACAAGAUGUCCAGAGUCGCUUGGAUCUCAAAGAACCAGUCCAGAAAGAACAGAAGUACCGAAACAAAAUAAUUGGGACUCUUUAUGAAAUGCUGUCACAGUACACAAUGUACCCAACCCACUCAGACUACAUCCAGGUCAUCAAAGCCCUGAUUGUGAAGUAUCCUUUCUUAAGAGAUGUACACG